Molecule: long non-coding RNA, 3740 nt
Organism: Pyrus x bretschneideri (Chinese white pear)
Lineage: Eukaryota; Viridiplantae; Streptophyta; Magnoliopsida; Rosales; Rosaceae
Exons: 9
Source: RefSeq, a predicted model, not a curated record
UUAGACGCAUGUUGAUCAUCGGCUGGUCAACCUCUUUCUACUUUUGUUCUCUUUUUUCCCUUGUUAUUUCAUUUUUCUUUGUUCCUUUUCUCGACUUCUCCCACUCUUUCGUAUCACUUUCUGCCACUUUUGAACCCUUGGUGCCUUUUCUUUUGCUGAUCUUUGUCUUUGCCAGUGUGGAGUCACUUUGCUGGGGAAAAAUUCGUCCGCCGAUGUACCUUAUUUGGGUUGGUGGGUUGGGUUCUAUGGAUCUUGAACUUGCAAAACCUAAAUUCUCCUGGAGAUUAGCUUGGCCAAGUAAUUCAUAUGAUUCCAUGGUGAGGAAUAGCUUGACUUCCUAUCUCAACUUGCGGAAUUGGUUGGGUGACACUUAACAAUUGUAUUUUCUUCCUAUAUUUGCUUAUGGUGGAUUGUCCUGGUCCUGGUGGAUACACCCGCUGCUUUCCUUUUCACCCUGACCUCUACUACAAUCCUAUCACCUCCCAUUUCCUCUGAUUCUGACGUCAUUCUUUUUCUAUAUUCUACAGGUUUUUUAAAGUUUAUUUGGUUGCUGGAAAAAAACUGAGAAAUGAAGAGCUUCAGAGUUUGAUCAUUUGUGCCUCAAAUUUGAGAACUCAAUUUCAAUUAGAGAAAGAGGAAGAGAAGCGUAGAAGUUUGCCUACUACUUCUCUAUUUCAUCGCUUAGUGCUCAAAGAAAGAGGUAGCAGCCAUCGAUCAAAUUCGAGUUCAAAUAUGAGUUCAUACCUAAGUUCAAAUCUUAUUUUUGAGCCUUUGUUUCGCCGGUAAUCAGGUAAAACUCAAAUAUUUCCUACAUAUCUUAAUUUUGGAUUAGUCUCUAUAUCUACAUACAUACAUGGAACAAAUAUUCACUGGUCAUUUACAAUGACGAUCAAUUAGUGUAGUUCAUGGAUAUAAUGGAUAUUGACAAAGGCUCAAACUGCAAUUAAAUGGUUAAAUGGAAACCGUGAAGCUCACCCCUAUUGCUGAAUUACGUCCCUACACUAAAGCAGACAAAAUAAAGAUUCGUGUGUGUAGGGUAUGGAAAUCAAGCAUUCCUGCAAGUGGUCAAAAAUACGUGACAUUCCACUGUAUCUUAGUUAAUGAAACAAACAAUGCAGUUGAAGUUUCUGCAUCAGACAUUGAUUAUGAAGUUGUUGCCUCAAAGAUUCAGGCUGGUGAUUGCUGCGAAGUCAUGAAUUUUCAAACAAUUAAGAUCAGAGGGCAGUAUAAAGUCGUGCCACAUGAUACCCAGCUUAUAUUCACUGCUAAAACAGUGUUUAGAAAACUAUAUGCCGUCUAUCCACCGAUUCCGUGACAUCAAUUUUUUCUAAUGGAUGAUAUUCUUACAGGUAAUAUUAAAACAUAUUUAUUUGUCUACAUGUGUGUCUCUACAUGUCUAUUAAUUGAAAACAUUUCUGUUUUUUUUUUAAAUCAAAUGAGUUAUGGCAUAGUUUUUGCGCUAACUUUUUAAAUUGUAAGAUGUAAUUGACCAUCUGACUGCGGUCCAGCACUUGAAACCAAAACAAAUUAAUCAAAGAACAGCCUAGAAGUGUGAUAUACGCAUUGAGAAUAUCAGGUUAUUCUUUUGUCUUAGUACUGCAGUUCUAAAUUAUUAACAUUUCAUUUGUUACGGUGGAAAAAAAAAAAAAUUCAUCUUUGUUUUUUAUUUGUUUUCUAUACAAAAAAUAAGAGUUGUCUGUUACAUUGUGGGGAGAUGUUGAGGAAACUUUUUCUUUUUUAUCGGUCCACACAAUGUCUUUGCCCAUUAUCGUUGUAUUUACAAGUUUAAAAGUCAAGCUUUAUCUAGGUAACUGAUUUAACUGAAGCUCAUUUUUUCUUUUUUUAUUACAGUAGUUGCUAUACACUAUUCUAGUAUUUUAUCAUUAUUGAAUUUUAGUGUAUUACAUUAUUGUCCUUUAUGACAAAGCAUUUGUUUUGUUUAUUAUAUGUUGGUUACCAAGUAUUUCAAUCUAUUCAUUACGAUUUGUGUUUCGUUUUUAGCCAUGCAUCUUCAAAUUAUUUUUCCACGCUCUUAAACCUAUUGAUUAUAAUUUUUCUUGCACUUUUAAACAUCUAUCAUCAAAUAGAAAAUAUUUACUCAUGUUUGUUUUAUCAUUUGUUAUUAUUUUUGGGAUCUCCAAAUAAGCUCGUCUUGAAUAGUACUGGUUCCUCACUUUUUUUCAUUGACCCGGACAUCCUAGAGGUUUACUCAUACAAAUCAAUGUGAGUGGACAUCUAUAAUUGUGCUUCCUAUUUCUACCUACAAAGAAACUUAUUUUUCAAACUUGGUUACUUUUUUUUUAUACUUACUGCUACCUUCUUCAAGAUAAGUGAAUGAGACUGAAGUUUUGUGUACUGCAAAAAGAGUGACAAUAGAUAAGCUGGUUUUUUUAGAUCCUGAUCUAUAUAAGGCAUCAGUCAAACGUUUUGACACACGUUAUAAUCGGUGGUAUAAUGCUUGACCAAAUUGUGUCAAGCAAAUGCAAAAAGAUCCAACAACUGGGCAACUCAUUUGUCAAAAACACCCUAGCCAGAUACCAACACCUUGGUAUAAAGUUAAUUUAAUUCUUGAAGAUAGCACUAAAGAAAUCAAUGCCUUGAUAAUUGGCAAGUCUGGAGAAAAACUGUUUGGUAUGCCUUGCAAAGAUUUAGUCUUGAACCAAAGAUUGAUUGACCAACAGUAGUUGCCCAAUGAGUUUUUGAGAUUGAUUGAUCAAAAGAAGAUCUUUCACUUGUGAUUUGGAAAUUGAAGGAAUAGUUUCAACUCAAGCGAUUUGCUAAUUUUUAAUGUCUCUAAGGAUUCAGCUAUCAAACCAAUAAUCUCACAAAUGCUAGCAAGAGAAAGCACAAUAUCAUCCACUACUGUAUCAUCUUCGAUCUUACCACCUGAAACAAGCGAUCAAUCACAUAAAUGAAAGAGGGAAUCUGUGAGAAUAUACCUUUUUAGUGGCAGUGAACAGAGGUUUGCAUUCGAUGUCCAUGCUUUCAUCAAAUCUGAUGCUUUCUUUUUGCUUCUGUGUCUUCAAAAAUUUAUAUCUUCUACUAAUCUUCCUUUGUUUGAAGUAUACCUCUUAGACAUCUUUUUUUUUAAAAGAAAAAUUUUCCAAAUGAACAAUACAAUUAAUUACGUUUAGGCAACAUUUUCUCUUUUUUGUUCAAUCAAAUGUACUCAUUUGAUAUACACAUUUAAAACAGUGAAGCAGAAGAAGUUUCAGAAGUUGACCCAAAUGAAUUUGAUGAAAUCCCUGUGAAAUCACUGAAAAAAAAAAAAUUCGCAUCCGGCUCUUGCAAAAACAGAUACCAUCGUUUCAAAAAAGGACUAAGUAUGCAUUCAUUUUGGUCAAUUUUUUCCUUCACAUCUGCAUCACUAUAACUCUAACCACUAUUUAAAUGCUUUUCAUUUUUUUUUCUGUCUGUACAACUUAGUUUGUCAAUGUUAACAGUCAUGAAACUGCUGCAACAACACUUUUCCUGUUCUGUUGAAGGAUAUUUUGCAUUUUUUUGCUGCCAUAUCUUCCAACAAUAUUUCCCAGACCUCCAUAUACCAGCAUUUGUUAAUUUUUUGUGUACAGAAGCUAGUUUAGUUUUUAGGACAUAUGGAACUAUUAAGGCAUCAUAUAUAACUGUCAUAUUUUUUGUAUCUCUAAGUGAAAGUAUAUGCUCAUUUUUGUAUGUAAAUAUGAUGGUGCUGAUCCAAACAUAGUUCUAACUGCUAUAAUGCAAUUGAAAACUUUUAUGUU